Molecule: ribosomal RNA, 914 nt
Filed under: Tetracladium marchalianum
Lineage: Eukaryota; Fungi; Ascomycota; Leotiomycetes; Helotiales
Description: LSU rRNA
Rfam family: Eukaryotic large subunit ribosomal RNA
Source: RNAcentral
GCAUAUCAAUAAGCGGAGGAAAAGAAACCAACAGGGAUUGCCUCAGUAACGGCGAGUGAAGCGGCAAAAGCUCAAAUUUGAAAUCUGGCUCUUUUAGGGUCCGAGUUGUAAUUUGUAGAAGAUGUUUCGGGUGUGGCUCCGGUUUAAGUUCUUUGGAAUAUUACAUCAUAGAGGGUGAGAAUCCCGUAUGUGACCGGCAGCCUUCGCCUAUGUGAAACUCUUUCGACGAGUCGAGUUGUUUGGGAAUGCAGCUCAAAAUGGGAGGUAUAUUUCUUCUAAAGCUAAAUAUUGGCCAGAGACCGAUAGCGCACAAGUAGAGUGAUCGAAAGAUGAAAAGCACUUUGGAAAGAGAGUUAAACAGUACGUGAAAUUGUUGAAAGGGAAGCGUUUGCAACCAGACUUGCACGCAGUUGAUCAUCCGGUGUUCUCACCGGGGCACUCUGCUGCGUUCAGGCCAGCAUCGGUUUUGGUGGUUGGAUAAAGGCCUUGGGAAUGUGGCUUCCUUCGGGGAGUGUUAUAGCCCUCGGUGCAAUGCAGCCUACCGGGACCGAGGACCGCGCUUCGGCUAGGAUGCUGGCGUAAUGGUUGUAAACGACCCGUCUUGAAACACGGACCAAGGAGUCUAACAUCUAUGCGAGUGUUUGGGUGUUAAACCCAUACGCGUAAUGAAAGUGAACGGAGGUGAGAACCCUUAAGGGUGCAUCAUCGACCGGUCCUGAUGUCUUCGGAUGGAUCUGAGUAAGAGCAUAGCUGUUGGGACCCGAAAGAUGGUGAACUAUGCGUGAAUAGGGUGAAGCCAGAGGAAACUCUGGUGGAGGCUCGCAGCGGUUUCUGACGUGCAAAUCGAUCGUCAAAUUUGCGCAUAGGGGGCGAAAGACUUAUCGAACCAUCUAGUAGCUGGUUCCCUGCCGAAG